AUUAAAAAAAAGGGAAAGGUGAUGUAAGGAUAUUUUCAAAAGAUCAAUAACAAAUUUCAGAUAUUAGAAGCUUCAACUGGCUUCCCCAUAAUACAUGUAGCAAAAAAAUAUAAAUCCAUCAGAAAAAAGGAAUCUUCUGGAAAUUCAUUUUGCCCAACUGAUUGUCGACCCGGCAACCACUGAACAGAACGUUGCUCUAUCCUUUCAAUCGUUGAACACCAAACAGGGUAGAGAAACUCCUAUCUUUUAACGUCUGCAGCUAGGUUUGAACUCCCGACCUCCCGGUUGUGAGACAGACGCUCUACAAACUGAGCCAACUCACCCGUAUACAUAAUAAGAAAUAGGCCUACAUUUAAAAAAAAAUCUUUCUUUUAUUUUCAUCCAUCGAAUCAGUUGCAGCCCCCUCCCCAUUGUAUGAACAUUUUGGUUUUAUUUUCAAAUAAUGUUAUGUGAAUUACUCUUUCCCUGUACCCGUCUGAAGUACACGUACCAUGCCUCCCCUGCUCAUAUGGUGUUACCAUUGGCCAGAAAUAUAGGGCAGCAUUUCAUGAGUAUCACAUUCAUACAUAUUUUUCUAACAUUACCGUAUAAUGUUUCCUGUAAAGUCACGCACAAAGCUUCAUAUUCAGACAAAUUCUCAAUGGAUAGAUGUAUAAAGACAUUGAUGGAUUAAUAUCGGGGCAAAACAAGAGUUCUUUAAAUACUCUCAGGGAUGAAAAACAGUCUUUAUUUCCUGAUGGAAGAACAUUGUGAUGUGAAAUCAGAUAUAUCUCAGGUGUGGUAUAAUGGUAUUGAUAAUGAAGGGGCAUAGAUCUUCUUACCCACACUGUGCCUCUUACUCUACUGAAUUAAGUAAGUUUCUGUUUAGGGACAAGCUUGUUUUAGUUCUUGUUCUGCAUGUACAUAUUAUUUUAAUUUGUAGACCUGGGUCAAUUUUUUUAUUUCUUGUAUACUUUUAUGAAAUAAUAGACAUGUUCCCUUGAUAAUAGACAAGCCAGUCAGUUGUGUGGAAGGACAUGCAUUUUGUUACAGCUCAAACAAAAUAUAUGCCUUUGUGGGAAAUAGAUUUUUUCCUUAAAGAUGCCUGAUGGAUAUAUUUUAUGAAAAUCAUACUUUUUUCUGUUUUAUUGAAUCUUUAUCUUUAUUAAAUCCUCAAUAAAGGAUAUACAGAUCUAGAAUAGUGACCCAACUUAGAGGAGAUACUUGUAAUCCCUCGGUUAGUAUUUUUUGUGGUCUUUACAAUUUCUCUAUUAAAAACCACAAGUCAAUAAAUUCUAAAAGGGGGGUUCAAUACAUUAUACUUCAAAAGUUGUUGGUUAAAUAGAGUUGUCCAUUAUUCAUUACUUCUAUUUUAUCCUAAAGGUCAUUGUCCAACUUGACC
Long non-coding RNA from Lytechinus variegatus (green sea urchin), 1381 nucleotides. RefSeq lists it as uncharacterized. The record is from RefSeq and is a predicted model, not a curated record. Lineage: Eukaryota; Metazoa; Echinodermata; Echinoidea; Temnopleuroida; Toxopneustidae. The transcript is spliced from 3 exons.